CUACGGGGGGCUGCAGUGGGGAAUAUUGGGCAAUGGGCGAAAGCCUGACCCAGCAACGCCGCGUGAAGGAAGAAGGUUUUCGGAUCGUAAACUUCUAUCCCAGGUGAAGAUAAUGACGGUAGCCUGGAAGGAAGCCCCGGCUAACUACGUGCCAACAGCCGCGGUAAUACGUAGGGGGCAAGCGUUGUCCGGAAUGAUUGGGCGUAAAGGGCGCGUAGGCGGCCUUCUAAGUCCGAUGUGAAAGUCCUGCUUUUAAGGUGGGAAUUGCAUUGGAAACUGGAGGGCUUGAGUGCAGGAGAGGUAAGUGGAAUUCCCGGUGUAGCGGUGAAAUGCGUAGAGAUCGGGAGGAACACCAGUGGCGAAGGCGACUUACUGGACUGUAACUGACGCUGAGGCGCGAAAGUGUGGGGAGCAAACAGGAUUAGAUACCCUAGUAGUC
RNAcentral lists this ribosomal RNA (439 nucleotides) under uncultured bacterium. Its description in RNAcentral is "partial 16S ribosomal RNA". It matches the Rfam family "Bacterial small subunit ribosomal RNA", at positions 339 to 795 of the family's 1533-position model. The record is from RNAcentral.